Long non-coding RNA from Oncorhynchus masou masou (cherry salmon), 1449 nucleotides. RefSeq lists it as uncharacterized. The record is from RefSeq and is a predicted model, not a curated record. The transcript is spliced from 3 exons. Lineage: Eukaryota; Metazoa; Chordata; Actinopteri; Salmoniformes; Salmonidae.
CAUCCACAACUCCUCAUGAAAAUAUAAAUAUCUGUUGUGAGAAGUCCCAGUGUAAAGACAAUAGUCUGCCUGUGGCUGAGAUGACUACUGGAGGACCAGCGUAACAUUGACUAGUGUCAGUGUGUAACAAGCUAAGGCCACUUCUAGCAGACUUUUUACACUGAUUGUAAUGUAUGUAUUCUUUCAUUCUGUGAAUCUUCUUGUUAGACGGAAAGUAGGAUUCUAUUUGCAUUGAUUGGUUGUUGGGUUUUUUAAAGGGACAGUUCACAGUUGAAACAAUAAAAAAGCUGAACCCUGCCUCUGUUUUUGUAAAAAGCUGUGGGAUGGGUCUGGAGAAGUGUAACUGCUCUAAGACAGAGCUAUGCAUGCACUGACUGACCAUCCAAAAUUAUGUCUUUAUCAAUGUUUUGGGCUAUACAGCGUAUGUUCACAUUUACAAACAUUGGAGCAAAACAAGCGGAUAUUUUGGGUUCGAUGGGGUACAACAGUUCAACUAAACUCAUAAGGCAGAAUAAGUUAUAUUCUUCAAGAUCCAAAAAAUGGAUGCAUUAACUGCUGAUUGCCCCUUUAACUGAUUAACAAUAAUUGUUUUAAUAAAGUCAAUAAUGACUUUGACUUUUGAGAUGAUAGUGGCCCUUGUUUCCAGAAACACACACACAUACAUUCAAUAUGUCUUUCUAAAAAUGUAUUCACCUGAAAAAGGCCUGUGUUUGGUGUGUUAACUCUCUAGUUUUCCCAAACACCAAUGGACCAAUGUUAGUAAAGUAAUGACUACCUAGUCUGCAUUACGUUCUAAUAGUCUAACUGUAGAUUUAUCAUCAUGAUGAUACUGUUUCAUGUUUGAUGCUCUGUCUGCUCGCCCCCCCCCCCCCCCCACACACACACACCAUCACACGCUCCCCACACACACGCUCUGUCUGCUCGCCCCACACACACACACUAUGUCUCUCUCUCUCUCUCUCGCUCUGUCUGUCUCUCUCGGUGCUUCAGUUUCGUUGUCUCUUCAGGGAGUUGCAGUUCUCAUCUGUAGCUCCACAGUACCUCGUCUCCUCCAGAGCUCCAGACAGUUCUCCAACCAGACAUGAACCAACCACCUCCCCAGACACAACCUACAAUCACCCCUGGUGUUCCCCAUGUGGAAAACCAGAGAACAGUUGUUGGUGGCAGGAUAUUCUGACGUAAGCAACACCUGGCCUUAGCAACCCCUCUGACAUGAUAUGAGGUCGUCGGGGUGCUAGUACCUCAUCCUCUACCCCACAUCUCUGAGGAGGUGUGACAUAGAGAUCAAACAACAGAAACAGUUAACUGUAGUUCAAAUUCAAUCCACGAUUAAAAUGGUAAUCUCCCAUAGAAAUAUAAUAUCAUUCUAGAUCUGUGAUAACUCCAUCCAAAGAGGUUCUAUCCUGUUCUGACCAGUUCUAUCUGGUUCUAACCAGUAUUCUCCUCCCU